GACGAACGCUGGCGGCGUGCUUAACACAUGCAAGUCGAACGGAAAGGCCUCAGCUUGCUGGGGUACUCGAGUGGCGAACGGGUGAGUAACACGUGGGUGAUCUGCCUUGCACUCUGGGAUAAGCUUGGGAAACUGGGUCUAAUACCGGAUAUGAACUGCCUUUAGUGUGGUGGUUGGAAAGUUUUUUCGGUGCAAGAUGAGCUCGCGGCCUAUCAGCUUGUUGGUGGGGUAAUGGCCUACCAAGGCGUCGGCGGGUAGCCGGCCUGAGGGGGUGUACGGCCACAUUGGGACUGAGGUAAGGCCCCGGCGCCUACUGGAGGCAGCAGGGGGGAAUAUUGCACAAGGGGCGGAAGCCUGAUGCAGCGACGCCGCGUGGGGGAUGACGGCCUUCGGGUUGUAAAAACCUUUCGGCAGGGACCAAGCUUUUUGUGACGGUACCUGUAUAAGAAGCACCGGCUAACUACGUG
RNAcentral lists this ribosomal RNA (467 nucleotides) under uncultured bacterium. RNAcentral describes it as "partial 16S ribosomal RNA". It matches the Rfam family "Bacterial small subunit ribosomal RNA", at positions 28 to 507 of the family's 1533-position model. The record is from RNAcentral.